Molecule: ribosomal RNA, 531 nt
Filed under: Bifidobacterium dentium
Lineage: Bacteria; Bacillati; Actinomycetota; Actinomycetes; Bifidobacteriales; Bifidobacteriaceae
Description: bacterial SSU rRNA
Rfam family: Bacterial small subunit ribosomal RNA
Source: RNAcentral
GUGGUAAUGCCGGAUGCUCCGGUUGGAUGCAUGUCCUUCCGGGAAAGGUUCCAUCGGUAUGGGAUGGGGUCGCGUCCUAUCAGCUUGAUGGCGGGGUAACGGCCCACCAUGGCUUCGACGGGUAGCCGGCCUGAGAGGGCGACCGGCCACAUUGGGACUGAGAUACGGCCCAGACUCCUACGGGAGGCAGCAGUGGGGAAUAUUGCACAAUGGGCGCAAGCCUGAUGCAGCGACGCCGCGUGCGGGAUGGAGGCCUUCGGGUUGUAAACCGCUUUUGAUCGGGAGCAAGCCCUUCGGGGUGAGUGUACCUUUCGAAUAAGCACCGGCUAACUACGUGCCAGCAGCCGCGGUAAUACGUAGGGUGCAAGCGUUAUCCGGAAUUAUUGGGCGUAAAGGGCUCGUAGGCGGUUCGUCGCGUCCGGUGUGAAAGCCCAUCGCUUAACGGUGGGUCUGCGCCGGGUACGGGCGGGCUGGAGUGCGGUAGGGGAGACUGGAAUUCCCGGUGUAACGGUGGAAUGUGUAGAUAUCGGG